AAGUCGUAACAAGGUUUCCGUAGGUGAACCUGCGGAAGGAUCAUUAACACAUUUUCUUUCAAACUAUAAACAUUGGACACUUACUGAGCCAUCAGCGGGAGUGCCGGCAGACUAUGGUCGGAUUGCCUUCGUGGCGAUGGUCUGCCGGAUAGCAAGAUCCAUAAGAGCUCCAUGCUGGUCGUGGCGCAAUGAAGAUGAGGUUCGAGCUCUACGUUGGUGGUAUUACAGUCGCUGACCUGGCUGGCUUUUUUUAUUAAAUUGAAAUACGUCUGAUGUGGCUUCCGAUCGAGAGGGCUUUCUUUUUUCAUUAAAAGAGAGUCUUUUCUUUGAGGCCAAAAGCGAUGGAGGAAUCCAUUGUUUUUCAAAUGAAACACAACUCUUAACAGCGGAUAUCUCGGUUCUC
RNAcentral lists this unclassified non-coding RNA (403 nucleotides) under fungal sp. Its description in RNAcentral is "partial internal transcribed spacer region". The stretch from base 1 to 46 matches the Rfam family "Eukaryotic small subunit ribosomal RNA", at positions 1786 to 1831 of the family's 1831-position model. Lineage: Eukaryota; Fungi. The record is from RNAcentral.